ACGUAGGUGGCAAGCGUUGUCCGGAUUUAUUGGGUUUAAAGGGUGCGUAGGUGGUUUUAUAAGUCAGUGGUGAAAGCUGGUUGCUCAACAAUCAAGUUGCCAUUGAUACUGUUAGACUUGAGAGAAGUGGAGGUUCAUGGAAUGGAUGGUGUAGCGGUGAAAUGCAUAGAUAUCAUCCAGAACGUCGAUUGCGAAGGCAGUGGGCUGUACUUUUUCUGACACUGAGGCACGAAAGCGUGGGGAUCAAACAG
Molecule: ribosomal RNA, 251 nt
Filed under: uncultured prokaryote
Description: partial 16S rRNA
Rfam family: Bacterial small subunit ribosomal RNA
Source: RNAcentral